RNA transcript from Entelurus aequoreus (snake pipefish), 9338 nucleotides. It is a transcript of the gene named hepatocyte growth factor-like, with no coding region annotated. The record is from RefSeq and is a predicted model, not a curated record. NCBI's taxonomy places the organism in Eukaryota, Metazoa, Chordata, Actinopteri, Syngnathiformes, Syngnathidae. The transcript is spliced from 19 exons.
GCGGACAUCAGCCACGCAGGACGUCACUUCGAAGCAUCCCGAGUGGGCACACGCAACACGGACGCACGCCUCCAGUCCACCAUGAUGAGGACGCACGUAUGGAUUUACCAGGCGCUGGUGUGCGCGCUGCUGGGCAUGCUGCAUGCAGGCGACUUCAGAAAGAGUCGCCAGUCUUUGCAGCGCUACGAGAAGUCCGAAAACCACCUCCUGGUGUGCGCGGACUGUCCUCAGCCGCCUCUGGUGCGGAAGAGCCGCUCGCAGGAACACUGCGCCCGUAAAUGCAAGAAGGUGAAGAAGCACUUCAAUUGCAGGGCCUUCAACUUCCACAAGCACAACAGGAAAUGCCACUUGCUUCCCUUCGACCGCUUCGGCCACGGCGUGCAGAAGCAGGCCAACACCAACUUCACGCUGUACGAGAAGAAAGAUUAUAUAAGGGAGUGUAUCAUGGGACCCAAGGACAGCUACAGAGGGAGGAGGUCUUGGACCAAGUCAAACAUCACUUGUCAAGCUUGGUCUGAUAAUAACAUCAAUGAGCACACGUUUUAUCCCGAUAGGUACCCGACGCAAGACCUGAGGGAGAACUUCUGCCGGAAUCCCAACAACGACCCCGGUGGUCCGUGGUGUUACACCACUGAUCCCAACGUACGGGCCGAGGAGUGCGGCAUAGCACACUGUUCCGAGGAUGUUUGCAUGACAUGCAACGGCGAGGAUUACCGAGGAAAAGUAGACCAUACCAAGAGCGGGAAGGAGUGCCAGAGAUGGGACUCAUCGAGGCCACAUAAACACAAAUUUCAGCCCAAAAAGCACAGGGACAAAGGCUUGACGGACAACUACUGUCGGAACCCGGAUAACCGCCUCCGUCCCUGGUGCUUCACUAUGGAUCCCAAGACUCCCUGGGAGUACUGCAACGUCACAGUAUGUGAGUUCGACUCCUUCAGCAGCGAGGAGCCAGAUGUGAACGUGACGGCGUCCUGCGUCCACGGGAAGGGCAAAGACUACCGAGGAACGAUGAAUGUCACUCCCGAGGGGCUGACGUGUCAGCGCUGGGACUCGCAAUUCCCCCAUCAGCACUCGUUCAUUCCCCACCACUUCAAAUGCAAGGAUCUCCGGGAAAACUUCUGCCGCAACCCGGACGGCUCAGACUACCCGUGGUGCUUCACCAACGACCCCAACCAGAGGAAGGCCAACUGCACGCACAUCUCCAGGUGUGACGUAGAGGACGCGCAGAAAACUGAGUGCUACGAGGACCACGGCGAGACGUACCGGGGCGCUUUAGCCAUCACUCGCUCGGGGAUUCCUUGCGCCAACUGGUCGCAUCACAUAAACAGCGGGGAUUCUCACUCUACACUAUCCCAUGUAGGGCUGGAGAGGAACUACUGUCGCAACCCUGACCGGGACAAGCAUGGCCCCUGGUGUUACACCGACCCAAACACGCGCCUGUCUUGGGACUACUGUAAACUGAAGCAUUGUGAUCCUGCCCCAGCGACUCCUCAUGUGAACGCCACGCUCGGCCCCCCUGGUGCGUCCACAACCCGCCCCAGGAUAUCGUGCUUCGUCCACAUUAACACCCGCAUCGUUGGGGGACACCAAGUACGAGGAACAGAUGGCAGCUGGGUCGUGAGCAUCCAACGAGAAAAGAUUCAUUUGUGCGGAGGGUCUUUGAUCCGGGAAAACUGGGUGUUGACGGACCAACAGUGCAUCACGUCCUGCGUUCCCGACCUGAGGGAAUACAGCGUCCAGGUGGGUGUGCGCCACCUCAACGAGUCUUCCCGCCAUCCCAGACUCGCCAUUUCUCGUCUCAUCUGCGGGCCGGAGGGAUCCAACCUGGUCAUGCUGAAGCUGUCAGACCCAGCUCCCGUGUCCGAGGGCGCGUCCACCAUCCAUCUUCCCGUAAAGGAGUGUCACAUUGCAGAGGGAACAAACUGCACCAUGUACGGAUGGGGGGAAACCAAAAACACGGGACAGGACGAGGCGCUGAACGGCGUGACCAUGCCCAUGGUGGACGGGGACAUGUGCUCGCGAAUCAAAGGGGACGCCGGAGACAGCAGGAUAUGUGCAGGAGGACGGAGAGGAGAAGGCGUAUGUGAUUGAUCUAUUGUGGACAAUACUGUACGGGUCCAAAAGAACUUGAUCCCUCGGUCCUGGUCCAGUCAUAAAAAGCUGAUGGCGUGCAGACCAGAUAUAAAAGGCACGACACACUGUGAGGACAGGAAGGAGUCGGACAUUGUCUCCAAGACUAAGCUAAGUCCCGGACAGGAAGGAGUCGGACAUUGUCUCCAAGACUAAGCUAAGUCCCGGACAGGAAGGAGUCGGACAUUGUCUCCAAGACUAAGCUAAGUCCUCUCUUCUUCCGGGCUCACACACGUCCUGCUGCUGGUUUUUGGGAUCAUGGUGGACCAGUGUCUGGGUCGAGUUAAAUGGUCCACACUCAACACUUCCAGAACCUAGAGACAUUAUUCCAAAAAAAUAUAUAUAUAUUUGUUUUUCCAAUAAGUCCUCAAAAACAUCAAAGCUAGCCUGGUCUUGAGAUAAUAUUUUGCUUGUGUUUAUGCAGUAGAUCCUCAAAAAUAGCAGAGUGCUUCUGUUACACAGAAGCGUGUUUUUCAAAUAGAUUCUUAAAAACGCUACAGAAUUUUGCAUUUUGUAGCUAAUUCUCUAUUAAAAACAGCACAUACAUACACUACUGUCACACAGAGGAAUUUUGAUUAGCAUUUUUGCAGGUGGUCACCAAAAAGAGCAGAUUGUUCCUGUUAUAUACAUAAUAUUUGAUUGGUGAUAAUAAAUUAGAUACCCCAAAACAGCUAAGCACUCCUUUCAUAUAGUGGAUCUUUGACUAACAUUUUUACAGUCAGUCCUCAAAAAUAGCAGACCACUCUUUUGAUAUCAAGAAUCUUUGACUUGUAUUUUUGCAAUUGAUCCUCAAAAGCAGCAAAACGCUCUUUUCACAUACGAAAUCUUUACAGCAAGUGCGUUUGCAGUCACUCCCUAAAAACCGCGUAGCACUUCUGUCAUUUAAACCAUCUUUGAACAGUGGUAUUAAAUUAGAUUCCUAAAAAUAGCAGAGUGCUCCUGUUAUAUAGAAACGUAUUUUCAAUUAGAUUCUUAAAAACACUACAGAAUUUUGCAUUUUGUAGCCAAUUCUUAAAAACCAGCAAAAGGUUAUUAAAAACAGCACAUACGUACUACUGUCACACAGAGGAAUUUUGAUUAGCAUUUUUGCAGGCGGUCCCCAAAAGGAGCAGAUUGUUCCUGUCAUAUACAGAAUCUUUGAUUGUUGAUAAUAAAUUAGAUACCCCAAAACAGCUAAGCACUCCUUUCCUUUCAUACAGUGAAUCUUUGAUUAACAAUUUUACAGUCAGUCCUCAAAAAUAGCAGACCACUCUUUUGAUAUCAAGAAUCUUUGACUUGUAUUUUUGCAAUUGAUCCUCAAAAGCAGCAAAACGCUCUUUUCACAUACGGAAUCUUUACAGCAAGUGCGUUUGCAGUCACUCCCUAAAAACCACGUAGCACUUCUGUCAUUUAAACCAUCUUUGAACAGUGAUAUUAAAUUAGAUUCCUAAAAAUAGCAGAGUGCUCCUGUUAUAUAGAAACGUAUUUUCAAGUAGAUUCUUAAAAACACUACAGAAUUUUGCAUUUUGUAGCCAAUUCUUAAAAACCAGCAAAAGGUUAUUAAAAACAGCACAUACGUACUACUGUCACACAGAGGAAUUUUGAUUAGCAUUUUUGCAGGCGGUCCCCAAAAGGAGCAGAUUGUUCCUGUCAUAUACAGAAUCUUUGAUUGUUGAUAAUAAAUUAGAUACCCCAAAACAGCUAAGCACUCCUUUCCUUUCAUACAGUGAAUCUUUGAUUAACAAUUUUACAGUCAGUCCUCAAAAAUAGCAGACCACUCUUUUGAUAUCAAGAAAUCUUUGACUUGCAUUUUUGCAAUUGAUCCUCAAAAGCAGCAGAACGCUCCUUUCACAUACGGAAUCUUUAACACGUGCUUUUGCAGUCACUCCCUAAAAACCGUGUAGCACUUCUGUCAUUUAAACAAUCUUUGAACAGUGGUAUUAAAUUACAUUCCUAAAAAUAGCAGAGUGCUCCUGUUAUAUAGAAGCGUGAUUUUCAAGUAGAUUCUUAAAAACGCUACAUAAUUUUGCAUUUUGUAGCUAAUUCUUAAAAACCAGCAAAAGGUUACUGUCACACAGAGGAAUUUUGAUUAGCAUUUUUGCAGGCGGUCCCCAAAAAGAGCAAAUUGUUCCUGUCGUAUACAGAAUCUUUGAUUGGUGAUAAUAAAUUAGAUACCCCAAAACAGCUAAGCACUCCUUCCAUAUAGUGGAUUCUUUGACUAACAUUUUACAGUCAGUCCUCAAAAAUAGCAGACCACUCUUUUGAUAUCAAUAAAUCUUUGACUUGCAUUUUUGCAGUUGAUCCUCAAAAACAGCAGAGCGCUCCUGUCGUAUGGAUAAUCUUUUGAGUAGAGUAGAUUUCUAAAAACAGCAGAACGCUACUUUCACAUACGGAAGCUUUGACAAGUGCUUUUGCAGUCACUCCCUAAAAACCGCACAGCAUUCCUGUCAUUUAAAGAAUCUUUGAACGGUGGUAUUAAAUUAGAUUCCUAAAAACAGCACAGCACUCUUGUCAUAUAAACAUUUUGAUUUACAGUAGAUUCCUAAAAACAGUGGAAUGCUCUUAUACAGAAUCUUUGACCAGUGCUUUCGCAGUCAAUCCCUAAAAACCGCAGAUCGCUCCUUAAAGAAUCUUUGAAUGGUGGUAGUGAAUUAGAUUCCUAAAAACAGCUGCUCGCUGACUCGCUUUUAGCAGUUGAUCCCCAAAAUAGGAUUUUCAUUUCAUUGAGGAUUUUUGACUAGCAAUGUUGGGGUUGGUCGACAAAAACAGCAGAGCACUCCUAUCAUAGAGAAUCUUUGACUAGUGCUUUUGCAAUCAAUCCUCAAAAACCACAGAGCUCACCAGUUGCAUAAUUAAUCUUUUAAUAAUGCUAAUAAAUAGACCCCAAAAAACAGCAUAGUGCUCUUAUCAAGUCUUUGACUACCAUUUCUGCAGUCAGUCCCUAAAAACAGCAGAGUGCUUCUGUAAAAGUGCAGUCGAUCCUUAAAAACGUUAGAGCGCUCUCGUAAUUUAAAGAAUAAUUGAACAGUGGUAAUAAAUUAGAUUCCUAAAAACAGCACAGCCCUCUUGUCAUAUCGAUAAUUUUUGUAGUACAGUAGAUUCCUAAAAACAGUAGAAUGCUCUUAUACAGAAUUUUUGACCAGUGCUUUUGCAGUCAAUCCCUAAAAACCUCAGAGCGCUCCUGUCGAUUAAAGAAUCAUUGAAUAGUGGUAAUAAAUUAGAUUCCUAAAAACAGCAGCCCCCUUCUGUCACGUAGAGAAUCUUUGGCUCGCUUUUAACAGUUGAUCCUCAAAAAAGGAUUUUCAUUUCAAAAAGGAUUUUUGACUAUACCGUUUUUGCAGUUGGUCCACAAAAACAGCAGAGCACUCUUACCAUAGAGAAUCUUUGACUAGUGUUUUUGCAGUCAAUCCUCAAAAACCGCAGAGGUCACCGGUCGCAUAAUGAAUCUUCCAAUAGCGGUAAUAAAUUAGAUCCCCAAAACAGCAAAGCGCUCCUAUCGACAAUCUUUGACCACCAUUUCUGCAGUCGGUGCUUAAAAAAAGCAGUGUGCUUAUGUCAGAGGAUCUUUGAGAGACCUCCCGUCAUUUUAAAGAGUGUUGGAAUAGUGGUAUUUUAUUCCUAAAAACAGCACAUUGCUCUUGUCAUAUCAAUAUUCUUUGGCCAACAUUUUUGCAGUUGAUCUUCAAAAAUAGCAAAAGUCACAUAGAAGAUAUGUAAGCUGAAUGGAAGUUUGUUUUUUUGUGGUUUUCAAGCAGUUCUUGAUUCAGAAUAUUAGCUUUAUGAGUGGGACGAACCUCUGGGUCCAGUGGGAGGCAUGCGGGGUGGAGAGUAGGACACCUGAGAGGGAUGCCAGUCCACAAGGAUGGUCCAGGUCUAGUGUCCUGCCAGGUACAAAAACUGUACUGUUGUCAGGAACGUGAUGAAGCUUCGAGUGGACCUGCUGAGUUAAGAUGCUCUGAGGAGCUGUGAAGGACAAAGGAGGUCAGUAUUUUCCAGUGUGUCCAUGAAUACUUGCCAAAAAGCACUCACUACUUUGUUGGACCUCCCUCCUCCACUUGGCCCGCCUGUUUGAGAACCACACCUGUGUCAAAAGACAAACAGGAAGUGACAAAGCAGCAAAAGACAACAAACGAUGGACUAGUCUCAUGGAAAAUGUUGUCUACUUUGAUGGUCUCCUCUGCAAGCUGGGUCUGGUUGGACAACUUGUCCCUGGUGAACAUGUCCGCAUACUGACUCUGGGAGAACGCUGAUCCAUGAGGCAAAUGACAUCAAAAGAUGCAUUUUUAUUGAAAAAAAUCAAACUAAACUCUGCAAGUCACCUUUCUCCAAGACCUUAGUCUGCUGCUGAGUGAAGGUUGUUCUCGUCCUCAGAGGGACACCUUUUGUCUCCAUGCUGGUGCUGGAGAAACCUGAUACAGUCACAACAUUAGCACACAUCAUGCUGCUUCUUUGGCGGCACAGAAUUUUUGUCUUAUAGAGGAUCUUUAACACGCGGUUUGGUGAAAUAUCCUUAAAGACCGCAGAGCUCUCCUGUCAUAUAGAGCAGUGGUCCCCUAAUCAACAUAAAAAACACAAUAUAUACAUUAUAUAUCAAUAUAGAUCGAUACAGUCUGCAGGGAUACAGUCCGUAAGCACAUAUGAUUGUAUUUCUUUAUGAAAAAAAAAUGAACCCCCCCCCCCCAGUCCGUGGGACAAAUUUUCAAGCGUUGACCGGUCCCCAGCUACAAAAAGGUUGGGGACCACUGAUAUAGAGGACCUUUGACUAAUAGUCCUUAAAAACAGCAGAUCCAUCAUUUAAUAUAGAGAGUCUUUGACUAACUUUUUACAGUCGCUUCUCAAUAACGGCAAAUAACUCUCGUCAUACUGAGGACCUUUGACUCGUGUUUUGGUGGAGUAGUCUUAAAAACAGCACCGCUCUCCUGUCAUAUGAAGGAUAUUAGAGUAGAAGUAGGCCCUUAAAAACAUUAAUUACUUCUGUCAUUUGGAGGAUCUUGGACUAGAGUUUUGGUGGACUACCCUUAAAAAGACCACUCCUUUCAUUUAGAGCAGGGGUGUCCAAAGUGCGGCCCGGGGGCCAGUUUCGGCCCGCCGCUUGUUUUCUGUUGGCCCUCGGCAGGUAGUAAAAAUUGAAUGAGUUCAUUAUUAUCGAGACGUUAUUAGUAAUGCUAUCAAAUGAUACACUUUUAAAAUCAGAUUAAUCACACUUUUGAAGUCGGAUUAAUCAUGAUUAAACACAACUAUUACUCGCUUGCAUGAUUUCAUUUAACUUCAAAUUUAAAUUAAAUUAAAAAGGCCUCAAUACUUGGUCACAAAUGUAAUUUAAUUGUUAGAGUCCGUUUACGGUAAAGGAGCAAAAUAUGUGUGAUUAAUCUGCGUAUUUACAUGAUUAAUGCAAUGUCUUUUGUGAUUGAUCGCAUGAAGUAACUCGUUAUUUUUGACAGCCCUCGUUGUUAGAUGACACUUAUUUUCUUUGUCACCUACAACACAAAGCUAACAGGGAUGUUUUGUUCAGCUAGCUUAGCUUAUAUUGACAUACACUGGUUGGCUUUUAACAUCUUUAGCGGACAAAAUUAGUCAAAAAUGGCCCCCGCAGCCUUCAGUUGUACUGAAUGCGGCCCUCGCCGGUUACAGUUUGGACACCCCUGAUUUAGAGGAUCUUUGACUAACAUUUAGAACCUUAGAAACAGUAGACCACUCCUGUAACAUAGAAGAUCUUGGACUGCCGUUUGUAUAGUUAGUCCUCAAAAAAGCUGGCUACUCCUUUGAUAUAAAACAGUGAUUCUCAAACUGUGGAAUGUGUACCACUAGUAGUACACUAACUCUAUCUAGUGGUACGCCAACAAAUCACUGGAUUAAAGAACAGUGUUUUAUUUUCUGAUAUUCAAACACAGUAGAUGAUCUUUGAAUUGCACUUUCCUUAAAAACAGCAGAAUGCUAUUGCCAUAUAGAGAUGUUUUGACUAGCAGCAGGUGCUUAAAGCAGUAUAUAACUCCUGUCCUGUGGACUCGUAGGAUCAUUGACUAGUAUUUAAUGGAAUAGCCUUAAAAACAACAGGGAUCUCCUGUUAUAAAGAUUAUUUUUGACCUAUGUUUUUUGCAGUCGGUCACUAACAGCAACAGACCACUCCAUUCAUAUAGAGGAUCUUUGAUUAACAGUAGGUCGUCAACUGCACUCCUGUAAUAUUUGUCCAUGUGACUUACUGUCUUCAGUCCUGCAGGGUGCAUGGCUGUGCAUCCAGGCCUGUGGCUUGACUGGGAUCUGUCUUAGAAUUCGGUUUAUGGAAGACACCUUGAGGACAAAAGUCUGUGUAAAGACAUGUCGGUCAACAAAAAGGAUGAGGACAUCCCUAAGACUCACGCUGGGAACUUUGGAAGCCUUGCAGCUCCUCGUGGCCAGAAGACUUUUCCUAAUCUCCCAAGCAAAAACGGACGGAUUGUCCCUUUUGUGCUGAACGAUAGCGGAGAUGACGGCGGGGGUGAGUAGUCGUGGUCUACUCCCGCCGAUUGUUUUUGGCUGCAAGAGGCCAGUAAGUCUGUAGCGGCUCAGGAUCUUGCUGACGCAGCCUGUGGACACCUGGAGAGACACGCCUGACAUAUAAGCUCAUGACAAUUGUUUGAUUCAGACCUUUUUACAGCAAAGUACCCUCAGGAUCCUGGAGAUCUGGCUGGGCCGGACCCCUUCAGAGGCCAACUCCACCAUUUUCCUCCUCUUGGAGUCCGGAAGAGGUCUCCCGUUGAGGAACGUCCCACCAAGCUGGUUCACACUGCUACCACCUUUUUUUUUUUUUUUACAAAACACGCAGUAUGUAACAACAGCAGAGUGUUCCAUUCAUAAAGAGGGUGGGGAUUCUCAAAAACAGCAGUGAUCAUGUCGUAUAAAGAAUCUCCGAUUAGUGUUUCUUGAGUGGUUUCUUAAAAAUUGCAGAGAUAUUGUGUCAUAUAUUAGAUUUUUGAUUAGUGUUUUUGCAGGAUAUCCUGAAAAACAGCAGAGCAGAAGAUCUUUGAUGCAUUUGUCUUUGAAAACAGCAGUCUGCCCCAGGAUCUUUGAUGGGCAUGUGUGCAGUAAGUCCUCAAAAACAGCAGUGUCCUGAGGUUAAAUUUACGUUUUUUUAUCACGCAUUUGGAGCAUAUCUUUAAAAACAGCAUUGUUUUGGCAUUAGGUCUUGAAAACAGCAGAAUGCUCCUUCAUAUAGACAUUUUUUGAUUAGCGUUUUUAGAGUAGGUCCCUAA